RNAcentral lists this ribosomal RNA (300 nucleotides) under uncultured Xenococcaceae cyanobacterium. RNAcentral's name for it is "bacterial SSU rRNA". It matches the Rfam family "Bacterial small subunit ribosomal RNA", at positions 114 to 432 of the family's 1533-position model. Lineage: Bacteria; Bacillati; Cyanobacteriota; Cyanophyceae; Pleurocapsales; Xenococcaceae. The record is from RNAcentral.
CGCGUGAGAAUCUGCCUCGAGGAUGGGGACAACAGUUGGAAACGACUGCUAAUACCCAAUAUGCAGCAAUGUGAAAUAUAUUUUGCCUUGAGAGGAGCUCGCGUCCGAUUAGUUAGUUGGUGGUGUAAUGGACUACCAAGGCAGCGAUCGGUAGCUGGUCUGAGAGGAUGAGCAGCCACACUGGGACUGAGACACGGCCCAGACUCCUACGGGAGGCAGCAGUGGGGAAUUUUCCGCAAUGGGCGAAAGCCUGACGGAGCAAUACCGCGUGAGGGAGGAAGGCUUUUGGGUUGUAAACCU